This is a long non-coding RNA of Fukomys damarensis (Damara mole-rat), 283 nucleotides long. RefSeq lists it as uncharacterized. The transcript is spliced from 3 exons. Lineage: Eukaryota; Metazoa; Chordata; Mammalia; Rodentia; Bathyergidae. The record is from RefSeq and is a predicted model, not a curated record.
CUCCGAGUGAUGUUUCUCUAGUGAAAAUUAUUUUAAGGCCUGUCCUGCAAACUUAACUCCCUGUGGAGAAUGAACAAAAAGAGCUGAAAACAGAAUUGCAGAAUGGUGUCUGUCCAUAACUCAUUGGGCCUCUGGCCUUUGGGCCUGUGGAUGGCAGAACAUUGUAGCCGAAGAAGCUGGCACAGGAAGCUGCUCAUCUCAUGGUAGCCGGGAAGCAGAAAGAGAGAAGAAAGGGCUGGAGCCCCCUCCACAUAAUGCAGCUUUCUCUUGAAUAAUGUCAAUA